This 478-nucleotide long non-coding RNA is filed under the name Nicotiana benthamiana. Its description in RNAcentral is "long non-coding RNA (NBEN_LNC017578)". The record is from RNAcentral. Lineage: Eukaryota; Viridiplantae; Streptophyta; Magnoliopsida; Solanales; Solanaceae.
AAAAAUACAUUUCAGUUCCUCUUUCUCUCUCUUUCUAGUUCUUCAUUUCUUCGAUUUUGCUUUGUUCAAUCCCUGUUGUUAACAUGGUAAUAGAGCAGGUUUUCCGAUUUUGCUCAUCAUCGGCUUUCUUGCGAUGUUACCCUCGUCAAUUUUCAUCCGAGGUUCUUAUAUCUGAAAAAUCUAGGGUUUUCUCAAUUGCUGGGUUUUUCCGCUGUGAUCGUUUGUUUUUUUGAGGUUUCUACUCCGUCGGCUUCAUCGGUUAGGUCGAUUCGUUUCCUAAGGGUUUGCAUGUCCACAGACUGUUAGGUUUGUUGGAUUCGUCAAGCUUCAGGCUCGGUAAGGAUUCUCAGUCAUUAAAAUGGUUAAUGUUGGUGAUACUUCUGCUUCUGCUCCCACUAAUUUUGUACUUGGCCCUUCGAGUCCUUUAUUUCUUAUAUCUUCUGAUGUUCCCGGAGUCUCUUUGGUUAGUAAUCCCUUU